GACGAACGCUGGCGGCGUGCCUAAUACAUGCAAGUAGGACGCACAGUCUAUACCGUAGCUUGCUACACCAUAGGCUGUGAGUUGCGAACGGGUGAGUAACGCGUAGGUAACCUGCCUAUUAGAGGGGGAUAACUAUUGGAAACGAUAGCUAAUACCGCAUAACAGUAUGUAACACAUGUUAGAUGCUUGAAAGAUGCAAUUGCAUCGCUAGUAGAUGGACCUGCGUUGUAUUAGCUAGUAGGUAGGGUAAUGGCCUACCUAGGCGACGAUACAUAGCCGACCUGAGAGGGUGAUCGGCCACACUGGGACUGAGACACGGCCCAGACUCCUACGGGAGGCAGCAGUAGGGAAUCUUCGGCAAUGGGGGAAACCCUGACCGAGCAACGCCGCGUGAGUGAAGAAGGUUUUCGGAUCGUAAAGCUCUGUUGUUAAGGAAGAACGAGUGUGAGAAUGGAAAGUUCAUACUGUGACGGUACUUAACCAGAAAGGGACGGCUAACUACGUG
RNAcentral lists this ribosomal RNA (505 nucleotides) under uncultured bacterium. Its description in RNAcentral is "partial 16S ribosomal RNA". It matches the Rfam family "Bacterial small subunit ribosomal RNA", at positions 28 to 507 of the family's 1533-position model. The record is from RNAcentral.